UUGGGAAAGCGCGCAAUCGCCGCCUUUUAGCUUCUUGCUAGAAGGGGGAGGAAAGUCUGGACUUCGCAGGAAAUGAUACCAGUGAAAGACUGGGGGCCGCAAGGCUACGGAAAGUGUAACAGAAAACAUUUCGCUGCUGCUUAAGCAGACAGACUGAAAAUGCUGGCUUUAUGAGCCAGACCUACCCGUAGCAAUAUGGGAGGCUAUAAACCCUAUCGGAAGCAAGAGUAUAAGUGGAGCUGAAAAGCAAAGUGUGUCCUGCACCACUACUUAGGAAUCUCGCUUGAGGAUCUUAGCGAUAAGAUCCCUAGAUGAAUGAUUGCACCUUAUUUUAUAAGGAAACAGAAUCCGGCUUACUGCUUUCCCAAUUUU
This 372-nucleotide RNase P RNA is filed under the name Candidatus Aerophobota bacterium. RNAcentral describes it as "Candidatus Aerophobetes bacterium RNase P RNA component class A". It matches the Rfam family "Bacterial RNase P class A". Rfam says of the family: Ribonuclease P (RNase P) is a ubiquitous endoribonuclease, found in archaea, bacteria and eukarya as well as chloroplasts and mitochondria. Its best characterised activity is the generation of mature 5'-ends of tRNAs by cleaving the 5'-leader elements of precursor-tRNAs. Cellular RNase Ps are ribonucleoproteins. The record is from RNAcentral. Lineage: Bacteria; Candidatus Aerophobota.